UGCAGUCGAGCGGUAACAUUUCAAAGCUUGCUUUGAAGAUGACGAGCGGCGGACGGGUGAGUAAUGCUUGGGAAUAUGCCUUAUGGUGGGGGACAACAGUUGGAAACGACUGCUAAUACCGCAUAAUGUCUACGGACCAAAGGGGGGGAUCUUCGGACCUCUCGCCAUUUGAUUAGCCCAAGUGAGAUUAGCUAGUUGGUGAGGUAAUGGCUCACCAAGGCGACGAUCUCUAGCUGGUUUGAGAGGAUGAUCAGCCACACUGGGACUGAGACACGGCCCAGACUCCUACGGGAGGCAGCAGUGGGGAAUAUUGCACAAUGGGCGCAAGCCUGAUGCAGCCAUGCCGCGUGUGUGAAGAAGGCCUUCGGGUUGUAAAGCACUUUCAGUAAGGAGGAAAGGGAUGUAGUUAAUAGCUGCAUUCUGUGACGUUACUUACAGAAGAAGCACCGGCUAACUUCGUGCCAGCAGCCGCGGUAAUACGAGGGGUGCAAGCGUUAAUCGGAAUUACUGGGCGUAAAGCGUUCGUAGGCGGUUGAUUAAGCAAGAUGUGAAAGCCCAGGGCUCAACCUUGGAACUGCAUUUUGAACUGGUCAACUAGAGUACUGUAGAGGGUGGUGGAAUUUCCA
RNAcentral lists this ribosomal RNA (626 nucleotides) under uncultured bacterium. Its description in RNAcentral is "bacterial SSU rRNA". It matches the Rfam family "Bacterial small subunit ribosomal RNA", at positions 56 to 672 of the family's 1533-position model. The record is from RNAcentral.